This 465-nucleotide ribosomal RNA is filed under the name uncultured bacterium. RNAcentral describes it as "partial 16S ribosomal RNA". It matches the Rfam family "Bacterial small subunit ribosomal RNA", at positions 28 to 507 of the family's 1533-position model. The record is from RNAcentral.
GACGAACGCUGGCGGCGUGCUUAACACAUGCCAGUCGAACGGAAAGGCCCCUUUGGGGGUACUCGAGUGGCGAACGGGUGAGUAACACGUGAGUAACCUGCCCUUGACUUCGGGAUAACUUCAGGAAACUGGGGCUAAUACCGGCUAGGAAUCCUUGCUGCAUGGUGGGGGUUGGAAAGCUUCGGCGGUUUUGGAUGGACUCGCGGCUUAUCAGCUUGUUGGUGGGGUAGUGGCUUACCAAGGCUUUGACGGGUAGCCGGCCCGAGAGGGCGAGCGGCCACAUUGGGACUGGGAUACGGCCCAGACUUCUACGGGAGGCAGGAGGGGGGAAUAAUGCACAAAGGGCGGAAGCCUGAUGCAGCAACGCCGCGUGCCGGAUGACCGGCUUCGGGUUGUAAACCGCUUUCAGCAGGGGCGAAGCUUGUGGUGACGGUAACUGCAGAAGAAGCACCGGCUAACUACGUG